GUGGGGAAUAUUGGACAAUGGAGGCAACUCUGACGCAGCCAUGCCGCGUGCAGGAAGAAGGCGCUACGCGUUGUAAACUGCUUUUAACCGGGAAGAAACCCCAGGACGUGUCCUGGGUUGACGGUACCGGAGGAAUAAGCACCGGCUAACUUCGUGCCAGCAGCCGCGGUAAUACGAAGGGUGCAAGCGUUAUCCGGAUUCAUUGGGUUUAAAGGGUGCGUAGGCGGAGCGUUAAGUCAGUGGUGAAAUCCUGCAGCUUAACUGUAGACUUGCCAUUGAUACUGGCGCUCUUGAGUGCGCUUGAAGUGGGUGGAAUGUGCCGUGUAGCGGUGAAAUGCUUAGAUAUGGCACAGAACACCAAUUGCGAAGGCAGCUCACUAAGGCGAUACUGACGCUGAGGCACGAAAGCGUGGGGAUCGAACAGGAUUAGAAACCCCGGAGUCC
Molecule: ribosomal RNA, 444 nt
Filed under: uncultured bacterium
Lineage: Bacteria
Description: partial 16S ribosomal RNA
Rfam family: Bacterial small subunit ribosomal RNA
Source: RNAcentral